CCGAAUACCUCAGGAUAAUUUCCCCAUUUCAAGAUCUUUAAUUACAAUUGCAAAGAUUCCAUGGCAACGGAUGCAGCAGAUCCAGAACCACGACUUCCGCCCGAAGUGGAGGAGCAGGACGUCAGCGCGCUGCCGGUGUCCUGCGCUGGGGAGAGCAGAUGAAGCGCCCCCGGCCGCCUGGAUGUAACGUGGAAUCUGCGACUCCCAAGCAGGGCAAGGAGGGAAAGGACAGGAGACUUCCACAGCCCAGAAUUUCAUCCCUUUUCCUGCAGAAAGGAACCAGGGCUCCUGGGAGAAAUGAUUGAUUCCAAAACUAAACAGAGAAAGUCCCAGAGGGAGCUGUAAAUCUCUAGCCAGACACCAGAUCAAGGGCUUCCAGGGUGGAACAGAUGUGGAUGCAGAC
Leopardus geoffroyi (Geoffroy's cat) is the source of this 403-nucleotide long non-coding RNA. RefSeq lists it as uncharacterized. NCBI's taxonomy places the organism in Eukaryota, Metazoa, Chordata, Mammalia, Carnivora, Felidae. The record is from RefSeq and is a predicted model, not a curated record. The transcript is spliced from 3 exons.